GGUUCAGUUACCCGAGUUUGAGUAAUUUGGGUGUUUCGGUCCAGAGUUUAGGCUAUUGUGGCUUGAAGUAAAAUUUUGGGACGUCCUGCAUGUUUGUAGGGCAAU
This 105-nucleotide small RNA is filed under the name Brugia pahangi. RNAcentral describes it as "SL1 RNA". It matches the Rfam family "SL1 RNA". Lineage: Eukaryota; Metazoa; Nematoda; Chromadorea; Rhabditida; Onchocercidae. The record is from Rfam by way of RNAcentral.